RNAcentral lists this ribosomal RNA (1238 nucleotides) under metagenome. RNAcentral's name for it is "bacterial SSU rRNA". It matches the Rfam family "Bacterial small subunit ribosomal RNA", at positions 267 to 1498 of the family's 1533-position model. The record is from RNAcentral.
ACCAAGGUGAUGAUACGUAGCCGAACUGAGAGGUUGAUCGGCCACAUUGGGACUGAGACACGGCCCAAACUCCUACGGGAGGCAGCAGUAGGGAAUCUUCCACAAUGGACUAAAGUCUGAUGGAGCAACGCCGCGUGAAUGAAGAAGGCCUUCGGGUCGUAAAAUUCUGUUGUCAGAGAAGAAUGUGCGUGAGAGUAACUGUUCACGUAUUGACGGUAUCUGACCAGAAAGCCACGGCUAACUACGUGCCAGCAGCCGCGGUAAUACGUAGGUGGCAAGCGUUGUCCGGAUUUAUUGGGCGUAAAGGGAACGCAGGCGGUCUUUUAAGUCUGAUGUGAAAGCCUUCGGCUUAACCGAAGUAGUGCAUUGGAAACUGGAAGACUUGAGUGCAGAAGAGGAGAGUGGAACUCCAUGUGUAGCGGUGAAAUGCGUAGAUAUAUGGAAGAACACCAGUGGCGAAAGCGGCUCUCUGGUCUGUAACUGACGCUGAGGUUCGAAAGCGUGGGUAGCAAACAGGAUUAGAUACCCUGGUAGUCCACGCCGUAAACGAUGAGUGCUAAGUGUUGGAGGGUUUCCGCCCUUCAGUGCUGCAGCUAACGCAUUAAGCACUCCGCCUGGGGAGUACGGUCGCAAGACUGAAACUCAAAGGAAUUGACGGGGGCCCGCACAAGCGGUGGAGCAUGUGGUUUAAUUCGAAGCAACGCGAAGAACCUUACCAGGUCUUGACAUCUUCUGACAAUUCCAGAGAUGGAACGUUCCCUUCGGGGACAGAAUGACAGGUGGUGCAUGGUUGUCGUCAGCUCGUGUCGUGAGAUGUUGGGUUAAGUCCCGCAACGAGCGCAACCCUUAUUGUCAGUUGCCAUCAUUAAGUUGGGCACUCUGGCGAGACUGCCGGUGACAAACCGGAGGAAGGUGGGGAUGACGUCAAAUCAUCAUGCCCCUUAUGACCUGGGCUACACACGUGCUACAAUGGACGGUACAACGAGUCGCUAACUCGCGAGGGCAAGCUAAUCUCUUAAAGCCGUUCUCAGUUCGGAUUGCAGGCUGCAACUCGCCUGCAUGAAGUCGGAAUCGCUAGUAAUCGCGAAUCAGCAUGUCGCGGUGAAUACGUUCCCGGGCCUUGUACACACCGCCCGUCACACCAUGAGAGUUUGUAACACCCAAAGUCGGUGGGGUAACCUUUUGGAGCCAGCCGCCUAAGGUGGGACAGAUGAUUGGGGUGAAGUCGGAACAAGGUA